This 606-nucleotide unclassified non-coding RNA is filed under the name Athalia rosae (coleseed sawfly). Its description in RNAcentral is "misc RNA ENSAEAG00005002529.1". Lineage: Eukaryota; Metazoa; Arthropoda; Insecta; Hymenoptera; Athaliidae. The record is from RNAcentral.
GUACGCGUACGUCUACCUGCUAUCGCAACGAGCACGCGCCCGAACGCCGAAGUUCUUCUUCCGCGAGACGAAAAGUUGCGCGGAGGGAAUCGCGAAGGCCCAUCGUCACGCCGUGGACAGCACGGACGAAUGAUGGACUGAAGUUAAUCCCUGGAGCUCCGUCUGGUUCGUGAAAGCUUUUCGAAGAGAAUCGACGUCAAGUACGUUAUCAUCCCUGAGAAGAAUUCAGGGUCAAAAUCCCAGGGUCAGAAGAGCGGGAAAACCCGUCGAGGAUUUAAAAAAUGAACGAGCUUCCUCAAUAGGAGGUAAACCAAUUAAAGUUACGGUUUGUAUCUCUGUUACGACACGGAAUCAAUCCAUCCACAAUCCAUGUUAGCCUUCGUUAACGAUCUUUAACAACCUUUAACAAGAUCGAUAAGUUUUCUUUUAUUUUCAUUUGGAUUUUAUUCCUCGUUUUUUUUCUCUCUAAAUAUACUCGUUGCAAAGAACGCUGUAUAUUAUAUACUUAAUUGGGAAGUAUUGAACUCGUAUAUUGUGCGUGAUGAAUUGUUUCCAACGAUAAAACUUGACACGUUAUUAAUAAAUGGAAAAAAAAAAAAAAAAAAA